UACGGGGGGGGCAAGCGUUGUUCGGAAUUACUGGGCGUAAAGGGUUUGUAGGUGGCUUGUUAAGUCAGACGUGAAAUCCCUCGGCUCAACCGGGGAACUGCGUCUGAUACUGGAUGGCUUGAAUCCGGGAGAGGGAUGCGGAAUUCCAGGUGUAGCGGUGAAAUGCGUAGAUAUCUGGAGGAACACCGGUGGCGAAGGCGGCAUCCUGGACCGGCAUUGACGCUGAGGAGCGAAAGCCAGGGGAGCAAACGGG
RNAcentral lists this ribosomal RNA (253 nucleotides) under uncultured bacterium. RNAcentral describes it as "partial 16S ribosomal RNA". It matches the Rfam family "Bacterial small subunit ribosomal RNA", at positions 524 to 776 of the family's 1533-position model. The record is from RNAcentral.